CACAAGUCUUGAAAGAUUUCCUGCCUGAGACUCAGUCUGACUGCUCUUUUUCCGUUCAGCUGUCAUACAAGAAACAAAGUAUACGGUCACAGAUGAGUUGCAGAGACCCUUUCUGUCACAGCAGGAUGUCAAGGAAAAGAAUCAGUGAAAACAAGCCCUUAGGUCACAUUUUUGAAGUGACUACUAAGACAGCAGUGAU
Long non-coding RNA from Hirundo rustica (Barn swallow), 199 nucleotides. RefSeq lists it as uncharacterized. The record is from RefSeq and is a predicted model, not a curated record. NCBI's taxonomy places the organism in Eukaryota, Metazoa, Chordata, Aves, Passeriformes, Hirundinidae. The transcript has 3 exons.